CCUCAGGAACGUGGGGAAUCUGAUCGCCUU
RNAcentral lists this non-coding RNA (30 nucleotides) under Homo sapiens (human). Lineage: Eukaryota; Metazoa; Chordata; Mammalia; Primates; Hominidae. The record is from RNAcentral.